Onychostoma macrolepis is the source of this 215-nucleotide long non-coding RNA. RefSeq lists it as uncharacterized. The transcript is spliced from 3 exons. The record is from RefSeq and is a predicted model, not a curated record. Lineage: Eukaryota; Metazoa; Chordata; Actinopteri; Cypriniformes; Cyprinidae.
CUACAGGAAGAAAACAGCGGCUCAGAGAGGAACUUGAAAACUAGAUUCCUGGAUUCUCAAUGAGCUGAGAAGGCUAAGGACAGAGGCACGACCUCAAACUGAAAGUGAGAAAAAGUGAGCUGUGCUUUCCCUAUUCUCAGCCUCAGACGUCACGCCCACAAACCGUUGGCUAAACAUCUGAUACAUAUGGCACACAAAAGUGGAAACACUUCAAG